UUAGUACUCCAACUGUCCCAAAAAGUUUGUGUUACAUUUGCUUAGAUAUGGAUGAAUGUAGACACGUUCUAGUGUUAGACACAUCCGAAUCUAGACAACUGUAAGACAAGCUUUUUGGGAUGGAGGGUUUAGUAUUUU
Triticum aestivum (bread wheat) is the source of this 138-nucleotide non-coding RNA. The record is from Rfam. NCBI's taxonomy places the organism in Eukaryota, Viridiplantae, Streptophyta, Magnoliopsida, Poales, Poaceae.